CAUUGCCGAGCAGUAACAGGUACGUGGAACCGAUGAGGUGGAACGGACAGAGUCGGCGUAUCUAGCCUGUAUUCAACUGGAGACCCAAGCACAUUGGGUAGGCCUUUUCCAGAUUGGACAGGCAAUCCAACUGUUUGGGAGUCUACAGUGCAUUUGCAAGUGGAGUGCGCUGAGGUGGUCGGGUUAGCUGCGUGAUCUCGGGUUUGAGGCCAGCCCCUCGGGGUAUGGUACCCGGCUCGGGGGAGUGCUGUUUAGCCUGUUCAACUUGUAUGGAAAUGGUAUCGGGA
Molecule: ribosomal RNA, 287 nt
Filed under: Rotylenchulus reniformis
Lineage: Eukaryota; Metazoa; Nematoda; Chromadorea; Rhabditida; Hoplolaimidae
Description: partial 28S ribosomal RNA
Source: RNAcentral